CCUACGGGUGGCAGCAGUCGAGAAUCAUUCACAAUGGGGGAAACCCUGAUGGUGCGACGCCGCGUGGGGGAAUGAAGGUCUUCGGAUUGUAAACCCCUGUCAUGUGGGAGCAAAUUAAAAAGAUAGUACCACAAGAGGAAGAGACGGCUAACUCUGUGCCAGCAGCCGCGGUAAUACAGAGGUCUCAAGCGUUGUUCGGAAUCACUGGGCGUAAAUCGUGCGUUGGCUGUUUCGUAAGUCGUGUGUGAAAGGCGCGGGCUCAACCCGCGGACGGCACAUGAUACUGCGAGACUAGAGUAAUGGAGGGGGAACCGGAAUUCUCGGUGUAGCAGUGAAAUGCGUAGAUAGCGAGAGGAACACUCGUGGCGAAGGCGGGUUCCUGGACAUUAACUGACGCUGAGGCACGAAGGCCAGGGGAGCGAAAGGGAUUAGAUACCCCAGUAGUC
This 446-nucleotide ribosomal RNA is filed under the name uncultured bacterium. RNAcentral's name for it is "partial 16S ribosomal RNA". It matches the Rfam family "Bacterial small subunit ribosomal RNA", at positions 338 to 795 of the family's 1533-position model. The record is from RNAcentral.